GUGCUCGCUUCGGCGGCACAUAUACUAAAAUUGGAACGAUACAGAGAAGAUUAGCAUUGCCCCCACCCCACCCCCAAGGAUGACAUGCAAAUUUGUGAAGCGUUCCACAUUUAA
Molecule: small nuclear RNA, 114 nt
Filed under: Myotis davidii
Lineage: Eukaryota; Metazoa; Chordata; Mammalia; Chiroptera; Vespertilionidae
Source: RNAcentral